This 253-nucleotide ribosomal RNA is filed under the name uncultured bacterium. RNAcentral's name for it is "partial 16S ribosomal RNA". It matches the Rfam family "Bacterial small subunit ribosomal RNA", at positions 524 to 776 of the family's 1533-position model. The record is from RNAcentral.
GACAGAGGAUGCAAGCGUUAUCCGGAAUUAUUGGGCGUAAAGCGUCUGUAGGUGGCUUUUUAAGUCCGCCGUCAAAUCCCAGGGCUCAACCCUGGACAGGCGGUGGAAACUACCAAGCUGGAGUACGGUAGGGGCAGAGGGAAUUUCCGGUGGAGCGGUGAAAUGCGUAGAGAUCCGGAAGAACACCGGUGGCGAAGGCGGGUCUCUGGGCCGUUACUGACGCUGAGGAGCGAAAGCGUGGGGAGCGAACAGG